AUGCAAGUCGAGCGAAUGGAUUAAGAGCUUGCUCUUAUGAAGUUAGCGGCGGACGGGUGAGUAACACGUGGGUAACCUGCCCAUAAGACUGGGAUAACUCCGGGAAACCGGGGCUAAUACCGGAUAACAUUUUGAACCGCAUGGUUCGAAAUUGAAAGGCGGCUUCGGCUGUCACUUAUGGAUGGACCCGCGUCGCAUUAGCUAGUUGGUGAGGUAACGGCUCACCAAGGCAACGAUGCGUAGCCGACCUGAGAGGGUGAUCGGCCACACUGGGACUGAGACACGGCCCAGACUCCUACGGGAGGCAGCAGUAGGGAAUCUUCCGCAAUGGACGAAAGUCUGACGGAGCAACGCCGCGUGAGUGAUGAAGGCUUUCGGGUCGUAAAACUCUGUUGUUAGGGAAGAACAAGUGCUAGUUGAAUAAGCUGGCACCUUGACGGUACCUAACCAGAAAGCCACGGCUAACUACGUGCCAGCAGCCGCGGUAAUACGUAGGUGGCAAGCGUUAUCCGGAAUUAUUGGGCGUAAAGCGCGCGCAGGUGGUUUCUUAAGUCUGAUGUGAAAGCCCACGGCUCAACCGCGGAGGGUCAUUGGAAACUGGGAGACUUGAGUGCAGAAGAGGAAAGUGGAAUUCCCUGUG
RNAcentral lists this ribosomal RNA (640 nucleotides) under Bacillus tropicus. RNAcentral describes it as "bacterial SSU rRNA". It matches the Rfam family "Bacterial small subunit ribosomal RNA", at positions 55 to 675 of the family's 1533-position model. The record is from RNAcentral. Lineage: Bacteria; Bacillati; Bacillota; Bacilli; Caryophanales; Bacillaceae.